AGUGAACGCUGGCGGUAGGCCUAACACAUGCAAGUCGAACGGCAGCACAGUAAGAGCUUGCUCUUACGGGUGGCGAGUGGCGGACGGGUGAGGAAUACAUCGGAAUCUACUUUUUCGUGGGGGAUAACGUAGGGAAACUUACGCUAAUACCGCAUACGACCUACGGGUGAAAGCAGGGGAUCUUCGGACCUUGCGCGAUUGAAUGAGCCGAUGUCGGAUUAGCUAGUUGGUGGGGUAAAGGCCCACCAAGGCGACGAUCCGUAGCUGGUCUGAGAGGAUGAUCAGCCACACUGGAACUGAGACACGGUCCAGACUCCUACGGGAGGCAGCAGUGGGGAAUAUUGGACAAUGGGCGGAAGCCUGAUCCAACCAUACCGCGUGGGUGAAGAAGGCCUUCGGGUUGUAAAGCCCUUUUGUUGGGAAAGAAAAGCAGCAGGUUAAUACCCCGCUGUUCCGACGGUACCCAAAGAAUAAGCACCGGCUAACUUCGUG
RNAcentral lists this ribosomal RNA (492 nucleotides) under uncultured bacterium. RNAcentral describes it as "partial 16S ribosomal RNA". It matches the Rfam family "Bacterial small subunit ribosomal RNA", at positions 29 to 507 of the family's 1533-position model. The record is from RNAcentral.